This 501-nucleotide ribosomal RNA is filed under the name uncultured bacterium. Its description in RNAcentral is "partial 16S ribosomal RNA". It matches the Rfam family "Bacterial small subunit ribosomal RNA", at positions 29 to 523 of the family's 1533-position model. The record is from RNAcentral.
AUUGAACGCUGGCGGCAUGCCUUACACAUGCAAGUCGAACGGCAGCACGGGUGCUUGCACCUGGUGGCGAGUGGCGAACGGGUGAGUAAUACAUCGGAACGUACCUUAUCGUGAGGGAUAACGCAGCGAAAGCUGUGCUAAUACCGCAUCCGCCCUGAGGGGGAAAGCGGGGGAUCGCAAGACCUCGCGCGAUUAGAGCGGCCGAUGCCUGAUUAGCUAGUUGGUGGGGUAAAAGCCCACCAAGGCGACGAUCAGUAGCUGGUCUGAGAGGACGAUCAGCCACACUGGGACUGAGACACGGCCCAGACUCCUACGGGAGGCGGCAGUGGGGAAUUUUGGACAAUGGGGGCAACCCUGAUCCAGCAAUGCCGCGUGAGUGAAGAAGGCCUUCGGGUUGUAAAGCUCUUUUGUCAGGGAAGAAACACCGGCUCUAACACAGUCCGGGAAUGACGGUACCUGAAGAAUAAGCACCGGCUAACUACGUGCCAGCCGCCGCAGUAA